GACGAACGCUGGCGGCGUGCUUAACACAUGCAAGUCGAACGGUGAAGCGCCUUCCUUUUUGGUGGGGGUGGAUGAGUGGCGAACGGGUGAGUAACACGUUAGUAACCUGCCCCCUUCUUCUGGAUAACCGCAUGAAAGAGUCGCUAAUACGGGAUAUUCUGGGUCUGUCGCAUCAUGGGUCUGGGAAAGAUAUUGUUUCGGUGGGGGAUGGGCUCGCGGCCUAUCAGCUUGUUGGUGGGGUGAUGGCCCACCGAGGCGGUGAGGGGUAGCCGGCCUGGGAGGAUGGGCCGUAACAGUAGGGCGGAACGGCGGCGAAGACUACGGGAGGAAGCAGCGGGGAGGAUUGUUGCACGGGGGGAGGAAGGCUGAUGCAACGACGCCGGGGGGAGGAUGGAGUCCUUCGGGUAGAGAACCUCUUUCGCGAAAGAAGCAGGCCUGCCUCGUUUGUGCGUGGGUUGACGGUAGCUGAAUAAGAAGCGCCGGCUAACUACGUG
Molecule: ribosomal RNA, 494 nt
Filed under: uncultured bacterium
Lineage: Bacteria
Description: partial 16S ribosomal RNA
Rfam family: Bacterial small subunit ribosomal RNA
Source: RNAcentral